CCUACGGGAGGCAGCAGUGAGGAAUAUUGGUCAAUGGCCGGAAGGCUGAACCAGCCAUGCCGCGUGAAGGUCAGUGCCCUAUGGGCGUUAAACUUCUUUUGUGCGGGAGCAAUAAUGGUCACGUGUGGCCAGACGAGAGUACCGUACGAAUAAGCAUCGGCUAACUCCGUGCCAGCAGCCGCGGUAAUACGGGGGAUGCAAGCGUUAUCCGGAUUUAUUGGGUUUAAAGGGUGCGUAGGCUGUGAGGUAAGGCAGCGGUGAAAUGCCCCCGCUCAACGGGGUGAAGUGCCAUUGAUACUGCCUGGCUGGAAUGCGGAUGCCGUGGGAGGAAUGUGUGGUGUAGCGGUGAAAUGCAUAGAUAUCACACAGAACACCGAUUGCGAAGGCAUCUCACGAAUCCGCGAUUGACGCUGAUGCACGAAAGCGUGGGUAUCAAACAGGAUUAGAUACCCUAGUAGUC
RNAcentral lists this ribosomal RNA (460 nucleotides) under uncultured bacterium. Its description in RNAcentral is "partial 16S ribosomal RNA". It matches the Rfam family "Bacterial small subunit ribosomal RNA", at positions 338 to 795 of the family's 1533-position model. The record is from RNAcentral.